RNAcentral lists this ribosomal RNA (1391 nucleotides) under Lacticaseibacillus rhamnosus. RNAcentral describes it as "Lactobacillus rhamnosus 16S ribosomal RNA". It matches the Rfam family "Bacterial small subunit ribosomal RNA", at positions 24 to 1380 of the family's 1533-position model. Lineage: Bacteria; Bacillati; Bacillota; Bacilli; Lactobacillales; Lactobacillaceae. The record is from RNAcentral.
UCAGGAUGAACGCUGGCGGCGUGCCUAAUACAUGCAAGUCGAACGAGUUCUGAUUAUUGAAAGGUGCUUGCAUCUUGAUUUAAUUUUGAACGAGUGGCGGACGGGUGAGUAACACGUGGGUAACCUGCCCUUAAGUGGGGGAUAACAUUUGGAAACAGAUGCUAAUACCGCAUAAAUCCAAGAACCGCAUGGUUCUUGGCUGAAAGAUGGCGUAAGCUAUCGCUUUUGGAUGGACCCGCGGCGUAUUAGCUAGUUGGUGAGGUAACGGCUCACCAAGGCAAUGAUACGUAGCCGAACUGAGAGGUUGAUCGGCCACAUUGGGACUGAGACACGGCCCAAACUCCUACGGGAGGCAGCAGUAGGGAAUCUUCCACAAUGGACGCAAGUCUGAUGGAGCAACGCCGCGUGAGUGAAGAAGGCUUUCGGGUCGUAAAACUCUGUUGUUGGAGAAGAAUGGUCGGCAGAGUAACUGUUGUCGGCGUGACGGUAUCCAACCAGAAAGCCACGGCUAACUACGUGCCAGCAGCCGCGGUAAUACGUAGGUGGCAAGCGUUAUCCGGAUUUAUUGGGCGUAAAGCGAGCGCAGGCGGUUUUUUAAGUCUGAUGUGAAAGCCCUCGGCUUAACCGAGGAAGUGCAUCGGAAACUGGGAAACUUGAGUGCAGAAGAGGACAGUGGAACUCCAUGUGUAGCGGUGAAAUGCGUAGAUAUAUGGAAGAACACCAGUGGCGAAGGCGGCUGUCUGGUCUGUAACUGACGCUGAGGCUCGAAAGCAUGGGUAGCGAACAGGAUUAGAUACCCUGGUAGUCCAUGCCGUAAACGAUGAAUGCUAGGUGUUGGAGGGUUUCCGCCCUUCAGUGCCGCAGCUAACGCAUUAAGCAUUCCGCCUGGGGAGUACGACCGCAAGGUUGAAACUCAAAGGAAUUGACGGGGGCCCGCACAAGCGGUGGAGCAUGUGGUUUAAUUCGAAGCAACGCGAAGAACCUUACCAGGUCUUGACAUCUUUUGAUCACCUGAGAGAUCAGGUUUCCCCUUCGGGGGCAAAAUGACAGGUGGUGCAUGGUUGUCGUCAGCUCGUGUCGUGAGAUGUUGGGUUAAGUCCCGCAACGAGCGCAACCCUUAUGACUAGUUGCCAGCAUUUAGUUGGGCACUCUAGUAAGACUGCCGGUGACAAACCGGAGGAAGGUGGGGAUGACGUCAAAUCAUCAUGCCCCUUAUGACCUGGGCUACACACGUGCUACAAUGGAUGGUACAACGAGUUGCGAGACCGCGAGGUCAAGCUAAUCUCUUAAAGCCAUUCUCAGUUCGGACUGUAGGCUGCAACUCGCCUACACGAAGUCGGAAUCGCUAGUAAUCGCGGAUCAGCACGCCGCGGUGAAUACUUUCCCGGGCC